CGCAAGUUUUGGCGUUAAUUAUCACGCGUUGGUGUUGGGAUCACGCUCAAAUUAAAUAAAAACGACUUGUCAAAAAUGGCUGUGCAAUGUGUGAAUAAAUGGACAGGAAUCAUUGAAAUAUGUACACACGGAUGUUGUCAAGACAUUGGCCCGAAUUAUAACAGAUAUACUUCAAACCAAUGUUGUAGUGUUCCGAGAAAAGGCAUGACUGGGCUUUGUAUCGUUAUUCCAACUUUGGUACUUGUUGCUGUGAUUAUCGGCAUUGUCUUAGUGUACAGACGAAGGUAUCGGCAGCAACCCGAAUUAAACGAAAAUCUUCACGAGCGAACCCCGGCCACGCGCCACACACGCUGCGUCUGCAACACUGGAUCCUGAUUGGUGUAGGGCGGGGUUAACCGAAGGUUAGCAUAAUUAUGACUGACGGCUGGACAUUACAUCAAUC
This is a long non-coding RNA of Dreissena polymorpha, 442 nucleotides long. RefSeq lists it as uncharacterized. The record is from RefSeq and is a predicted model, not a curated record. The transcript is spliced from 3 exons. Lineage: Eukaryota; Metazoa; Mollusca; Bivalvia; Myida; Dreissenidae.